AUAUUUUUUUUUUUUUUUUUUGGUCCAUGUGAAUUAUUCUUUGACUCUGCAUGAAAUUGUAUUAACAAUUACAUUCCCAGUAGCUUAAAAUUAUUUUCUGCAGUGGCUGAUACAAUCAUCACAAAGACAUGAACUUCAUAAACUGCAAGCACUAAAAUAAUGGGAUUCAACUAAAAUGCACAUAAAAAAGAGCACUGACCGGUAGCUCUGAGUCUCCUCCCCAAAAUCAGGACUCCCAAUGCGUUGACACCAGUGUUUCAAAGACUCAUCUACCAUAAUUGCAAUCACUGCUCUUCAUACUGCUGGUAUUCCUUAUCACUAUCACACAUAACCUCUUUCACAGCCAU
Molecule: unclassified non-coding RNA, 347 nt
Filed under: Hevea brasiliensis (rubber tree)
Lineage: Eukaryota; Viridiplantae; Streptophyta; Magnoliopsida; Malpighiales; Euphorbiaceae
Source: RNAcentral